GAUGACGAACGUAGCGAAAUGCGAUAAGUAAUGUGAAUUGCAGACACCGUGAAUCAUCGAAUCUUUGAACGCACAUUGCGCCCUUUGGUAUUCCGAAGGGCAUGCCUGUUCGAGCGUCAUUACACUAUUCUUCGGAGUAUUGACAGUGGCUUACGCCUUGUCUAAAACCCUUGGUGGUAACUAUCAAUCACGCAUAGUAAUCUCUGCGAAGGUGGAUAGGUAAACACUGAAAACUUCUUGUUUGACCUCGGAUCAGGUAGGGAUACCCGCUGAACUUAAGCAUAUCAAUAAGCGGAGGA
Molecule: unclassified non-coding RNA, 299 nt
Filed under: soil metagenome
Description: partial contains 5.8S ribosomal RNA, internal transcribed spacer 2, and large subunit ribosomal RNA
Rfam family: 5.8S ribosomal RNA (bases 1-119)
Source: RNAcentral